This 419-nucleotide ribosomal RNA is filed under the name uncultured bacterium. RNAcentral describes it as "bacterial SSU rRNA". It matches the Rfam family "Bacterial small subunit ribosomal RNA", at positions 355 to 772 of the family's 1533-position model. The record is from RNAcentral.
UGGGGAAUAUUGGACAAUGGGCGGAAGCCUGAUCCAGCAACGCCGCGUGAGGGAUGACGGCCUUCGGGUUGUAAACCUCUUUCACCAUUGACGAAGCUGCAUCUUUUUGGGUGUGGUGCCGGUAGGUGGGGAAGAAGCACCGGCCAACUACGUGCCAGGAGCCGCGGUAAUACGAAGGGGGCUAGCGUUGUUCGGAAUUACUGGGCGUAAAGGGCGCGUAGGCGGUCUUGUAAGUCAGGCGGGAAAGGCCCGGGCUCAACCUGGGGACUGCGCUUGAUACUGCGAGGCUUGAAUCCGGGAGAGGAUGGCGGAAUUCCCAGUGUAGAGGUGAAAUUCGUAGAUAUUGGGAAGAACACCGGUGGCGAAGGCGGCCAUCUGGACCGGUAUUGACGCUGAGGCGCGAAAGCGUGGGGAGCAAA